Molecule: long non-coding RNA, 2330 nt
Filed under: Scleropages formosus (Asian bonytongue)
Lineage: Eukaryota; Metazoa; Chordata; Actinopteri; Osteoglossiformes; Osteoglossidae
Description: lncRNA (ENSSFOG00015032591.1)
Source: RNAcentral
CACCCUGUAACUGCUCACACUCUGGCUGAGCUGCUUCAGUCUGCCGAUGUCUCUGUGACAGGCUUGUCAGAAGAGCAUGCAAACUUUCUCGCUGUUUUUACUGAUUUUAAUUUGCAGUAGGAAUCAAUGAAUUAAUGAACAGCAGCUUUGCCUCUUUUAAAUGAUUGCACAAGGACUGACUCCCUUUCCUAACAAAGUCCUUUUACUUACUGACUGCUAUUGAAGGAAGAAUGGAUUUCCUGCCUGAAAUAAUGCUUCUCUUAACAGUAGCGCUACCUGCUGCUGCCAAGUCAUGCCGUGCCACAGAAGGAAGAGCUGCCCAGUGCUACGCCGCUUUGGGAGAACCUGUGUUUCUGCAUUUCAUCAUUGACCUUAAAAAUAAAACAUUUCGACUGAUGAAAGACCAUGUUCUGCUUCUACGUUCAAACAAUAAUGAAAUGGAAAAUGGCAAGAAAUACAAGAACAAAAGUAACUCUUUCUUCAACGGGACAUUCGAGUUGUACAAUGUGGUGAAAAAUGAUUCUGGGAAAUACUGCUGUGAAGUGUUUAAUGCCGAUGGAAGACAACACUACAGAGCUGAAAUACAGCUGACUAUUGAAGCCCUACUGCCAAAACCUGAACUAUCCCAACUAUGUUUACCCCACGGAGAGAUGAGAGUGUCCUGUUCCUCUCGGGACGAAUAUUCAGAGCUACGGUGGACCCUGGAGAACCAGAACCUAAACAGGAAUGUGGCCUAUCUGAGCAGCCAAAGGGACACUGUCAUACUGAAGGGGAACGUGUCUGGAGCUCUGGGCUGUGAAGUCAGGAAUCAUGUCAGUAACAGUACCAACACGCUCCAGAUUGUGCCCUGUCCAGGAAUUGACACCGCUGUGACUUUGUGGUGUAAUUCAGCGAACGGAACAGAGGUCUCAUUCACGAUCAGCGCUGCACACUCCCGCUCGGUGCCGAGUAUCACCAGGAUGUUUUUCACUUUUUCUGGGGAAGACCCGGUGCUUGUUAUUUGCAACAGCAGAGCCGACAUGCGGUACCCAACGGGUAAAAAAAAUGAUCAGCAUUUUACUUUUAAAUUUUGUGAAACUCUCCUCUUGGUUUGCUCAUUAAUUCAAAUUAAAUCAGCUCUAUUUAUUUUUGAGAAUGUGGUCAUAACAUGUGCAUUAGAAGCAUUACCAAAUUUCCCCCCCAGGGAUCAAUGAAGUAUCUAUCUAUCUAUCUAUCUAUCUAUCAAACUGCAGGUCUCUUCUUGUGCAUGACCCUCCCCUCCUCACGGACAUGUCAUGUUUUUGUGCCCUUGCAGUUAUUUUAUUGAUAUUAGCUGCCUCGGGAGUCUUUAUAGCUGUUGCUCUACUUGCAAGAACAUACUGUCUCCAAGUGAGGACCACCAGACACCGCAGUUCCCCAUCAAGUCAGCAAUCAGGUGAGCACAUGUUCAAGGUGAACCUAAGAGUGUGACGAGGCCAGCGCUGCAUGGAGUACCUUCUCUUGUCUCUCGCCUCUCAGAUGAAGAGAACGUCCCUGAGCCAGUCUACACGCAAGUUAGUGUGAGGAAAAAGAAGAAAAGUACAGCAAUAGAGCAAGCAGCACUAGAGGAGGUGCAGUACGGACAGGUGAAACUCAGCGAACAUGAUACCCUGUCUGACAGUUUAGGGAUUUCUGUAUAUACUGUGGUUCGGCAAUAGAGCUGAUCAUUUUGUGAAAAUAAUACUGUUCGAUUUUUAAAGAAAGAUUUAGGAUCAGUUUCGGUAUUUAUGGCGUCUGCCUAAGGGAACCUGAGAUCAAUCGCUGAAUAAUUAGCUAAAAAAAAAAAACGUAUUGCACUCUAUUUCCUUUGUCUUAUUCAACAGAUGCUUUAAACAAUGGGCUUUUCAAGAUAAUGAAAACGACAAAGUCCAUAGAACAUCUGACUCCUGUUUUUCUCAGGUUUUUAGAUUGUAUAAUUUUUUUAAAAAAAAUGCAGAUACAAUUAAAAAGCAUUAACUUUCGAUAAAUAUAUAACUGAGAUCUGUUAGAUUUCAAACUUUCUCUCAGUAGUGGUGCUGUGAUCCCUCAGAACUCAUCGUAGACCCAGUGUCUUAUAGUUACUCUUCUGUCUUCUGUCUUAACGUAUGCGCUGAAAUGUUUAGAUCUUCUUGUUCAGAUGAGUAUCUAUGACUUUUCUUGUUGGGUUUGGGCUUUAUGGAAUUCAUAUUCAAAGUUGAACAUGAAUCGUAUAAUAUGCAGUCUAGACAAAACAAAAGAAGAAAUCAAAAAAAAGAGAUGAAGGCCGAUUUUUAACUGAUUAUAAUCAGUUAUCUAUAAUUAUAGAUAAUAAAACAAAACUUUAUGAGAGGCCA